This 1287-nucleotide long non-coding RNA is filed under the name Mytilus galloprovincialis (Mediterranean mussel). The record is from RNAcentral. Lineage: Eukaryota; Metazoa; Mollusca; Bivalvia; Mytilida; Mytilidae.
CCCCACUUGCACUAUCAUUUCCUAUGUUCAGUUGACCAUGAAAUUGGGGUAAAAAACUCUAAUUUGGCAUUAAAAUUAGAAAGAUCAUACCAUAGGGAACAUGUGUACUAAGUUUCAAGUUCAUUGGACUUAACUUCUUCAAAAACUACCUUGACCAAAAACUUUAACCUGAAGUGGGACAAACGAACGGACGGACGAACAGACCCACAGACCAGAAAACAUAAUGCCCCUCUACUAUGGUAGGUGGGGCAUAAAAAAUGCCCCUCUACUAUGGUAGGUGGGGCAUAAAAAAUGCUGUCUGCUAUUGUAGGCAGGCCAUAAAAUAUGAACAAGCAGUGAAGCUUGUGUAUUGGGAAUGAUUUAGCAAGGUAAUUGAAGAUUUACUAAGAAAUCUUAAUAUUUAAAAUUAAAAUUCAGCAUUUUAUUUCAAAUGAGAAUUCUGAAGAGCCAGUCUUAACAGAUUUUUUGCAAACAAUUCUAGAGGACAUUUUCUUAUCAAAGCUUCGUCCUAUAAAGCAGAUUUCACUCUUAUCAAGGAUCUAAUUUCUAUUUACCAAAUUCCAAGGCUGAAUCAACUGAAGGUGGUGUUACUUGACAAAGCAAAUUUAGCAGAUACUGUAGUCAGGUAUUGUCAAAUUUAAUGUUUAUUAACCCUCAUUCAGUCUGGCUGAUUUUUCAUGUCAAAUAAAAAGUUAACAACAUAAAAAAAAAAAUGCUGGUUCCAGAUUUGUUCAUAUGAAUAAGUUUCUAAUUAAUGCUGAUUUCAUAUUUAGAGAGGGAAAAAAGGGGGGUAAGUCUUUAUGAAAAUAACUAUUGAAAAAUUUUGUGUGUCGAAAGCACUUUGUGGAUCCUCAUACAUUUAUAAGGAAUUCUCAACUCCCCAUCCCUCCCAAAGAAUAAGCCAUGAAUUUAUGGAUACCACAGAUGUCAGUAGAUAUAUAACUAAAAGGGACAUAAAAGUUACAAGGACAAUAUGCUACUUGCUAAAUUGUCUACAUUUAAAGCUAUCUGUUUCCCACCAUCUAUAAAAAGAAUAUGCAGCAAGAGAUCAAAUGAAGCAUUGUUGGUUUUUAUUGGUGGUUCAGGGGAACAGGAUUGAGAAAAAGACACAAGGGGUACCAUACUGUAUUUGCAUUAACCAGAUGACUGUACCACUUCAAUGUUUCUAAUAGUGCAAAUGUAUGUACUCAUUCUUUUAAUAGUAACAUAACUCUAUUAAAAAAAUGUUCUAAAAGAAAGAAAAUUAUAGUUAGCAAUCUCAACACAUUUUUCCAAAUUAAAUUUAAC